This 501-nucleotide ribosomal RNA is filed under the name uncultured bacterium. RNAcentral describes it as "partial 16S ribosomal RNA". It matches the Rfam family "Bacterial small subunit ribosomal RNA", at positions 30 to 523 of the family's 1533-position model. The record is from RNAcentral.
AUUGAACGCUAGCGGCAGGCUUAACACAUGCAAGUCGAGCGGGGGAAGGUAGCUUGCUACCGGACCUAGCGGCGGACGGGUGAGUAAUGCUUAGGAAUCUGCCUAUUAGUGGGGGACAACAUCUCGAAAGGGAUGCUAAUACCGCAUACGUCCUACGGGAGAAAGCAGGGGAUCUUCGGACCUUGCGCUAAUAGAUGAGCCUAAGUCGGAUUAGCUAGUUGGUGGGGUAAAGGCCUACCAAGGCGACGAUCUGUAGCGGGUCUGAGAGGAUGAUCCGCCACACUGGGACUGAGACACGGCCCAGACUCCUACGGGAGGCAGCAGUGGGGAAUAUUGGACAAUGGGGGGAACCCUGAUCCAGCCAUGCCGCGUGUGUGAAGAAGGCCUUAUGGUUGUAAAGCACUUUAAGCGAGGAGGAGGCUACUUUAGUUAAUACCUGGAGAUAGUGGACGUUACUCGCAGAAUAAGCACCGGCUAACUACGUGCCAGCCGCCGCAGUAA